UUAUUGUCGGGGUAAUGUAUCGAUAGAGAAAAAUGUGGAGUAAAUUAUCCAAUGCCAGAAUAGAUGGGGGGGGUUAAUGGGGUGGCAGGUAGUAACUUCAACAUGGUCUGCACGUUAAUGAGCGGUCGGGUGAUAAGUUUUCUGUUUCAAUGGUUCAGAAUUUCAAAGAUAAUAUUGAUAGCUUGGCUUGGAAGACAUUCCACUUAAAGGUGGGAAAUGGACCUGGAGCAAUCAAAGGGAUCAGCCUUCUUUUUCCAGAAUUGAUAUAUUCUUGGUCUCCACCGAGCUUUUUUUUGUCUCUCCUGGGUCUCAGCCAAACGAUGGGGCCUAUACCGUUUCGACUUGACAACAAGUGGCUAUUAGUGAACAGCUUUCAAUCCAUGGUCAGUGAUGUUUGGAAUCAACCGAUUGAGAAUGGCACCACAAGUUACAGGCUCUCCAAAAAGCUUAUCCGUCUCAAGCAGGAAAGAAAAUAGUGGACUAAGGAAGUGGGGAUGAAGGAAGAUAACCGAACCAAUAAACUGUUAAACGAGUUGGGUGAUCUGGAAAAAAUGACAAAUGACGCUGAUCUGUAUGCAGAGAACAGUGAGAAAAAUAAAUAAUCCGAGAGUGGAACUUGCAAACAGACUUCACAUGGAAGCAAUUUCUUGAAAGCAGAAAGCCCAAGAAAAGUGGAUUAAAGAUGGGGAUAAAAAUACAAAAUUCUUUCACUGUUUGACGAACCAUAGAAGAUGGAUCAAUUUUGUGGAGGAAUUUUAUGUCAAUAGCUGUCCGAUCAGUGGAAAGGAGGCCAAGAGGGAAACUGCAAAAAAACAUUUCAAAAUAUUAUAUCAAGAAGCAUUUGAGCAAAGACCUAUUCUUGACAAUAUGCAUUUCAACAAAAUAGAGGAGGCUGAUAGAUCAAUUCUUGAAGCUGAACUUUCUGGAGAAAAAAUUUUUGAUUGUCUAAAAAAGUGUGAUGGGGACAAAGCUCCGAGGCCCGACGGUUUCAAUUUAAAAUUCUUUCAAGAAUUUUGGUAUGUGAUAAAAAAAAAGAUGUGCUUGAUUUCUUUAAGGAUUUUCACAAGAACAGAUCAUUUGUUAAA
Molecule: non-coding RNA, 1085 nt
Organism: Carica papaya (papaya)
Lineage: Eukaryota; Viridiplantae; Streptophyta; Magnoliopsida; Brassicales; Caricaceae
Source: RefSeq, a predicted model, not a curated record